GGGCUGGUCAGCUCAGUCGGUUGAGCAUGGUGCUGAUAACACCAAGGUCACGGGUUCUAUCCCUGUUUGGUCCC
This 74-nucleotide transfer RNA is filed under the name Apaloderma vittatum (bar-tailed trogon). It matches the Rfam family "tRNA". Rfam says of the family: Transfer RNA (tRNA) molecules are approximately 80 nucleotides in length. Their secondary structure includes four short double-helical elements and three loops (D, anti-codon, and T loops). Lineage: Eukaryota; Metazoa; Chordata; Aves; Trogoniformes; Trogonidae. The record is from Rfam by way of RNAcentral.